Molecule: RNA transcript, 1969 nt
Organism: Cryptomeria japonica (Japanese cedar)
Lineage: Eukaryota; Viridiplantae; Streptophyta; Pinopsida; Cupressales; Cupressaceae
Exons: 7
Source: RefSeq, a predicted model, not a curated record
UCGAUUGAGACACUUUGUCAGACAUGUAGUAACUUUGCAGGCCUUAGAAGUGUGAUCCUGAGAAAUCUAACCUGUAAAGCAUGGAGGAUAAUAAAAGUCAUCGUUGUACCGUCUUGCGCUCGAUAAAAUAUAGCUGGGAGUCAUUAAAGUCAUCCUCUAUGCAUAUGAGCUACUACAGACAAGCUUGAUUGCCAUGCUUAUUGGGAUAUUUGAAAUCUGGUCAUCGAUCCUUCUGGCGCGAAUAGAUUGGAAACAGGAUAUGACUCCACGCCCGUAGAAUCAGAUUUGAGAGAAAGAAACUACAGUACUUUUGCAAAGUUUGGAAGAUUUCCAAAUCUUAAAUUUGGCAUUUUCUAAUGUUCAAUGUCCCACAGCAUGCAUUGCCAGCGCACCAGUCAAGGGGUUGCAGGCAGAGCGUAGUUGCAACGAUAACAUCUGACAAAAAUCCACUUACUCUCUCUGUUGAUUCUUGUCCACACUGUAUUUCAAACCUCUCAUUUCAGCACAGCAUAUAGCUGGUGAGGGAACACCAUUAGUUACGCAUGCAGAAGAUGCAGCCACCGAUCAAGAGGCAGAAAAGGAAGACAUGGUAGGUGCACGGGAGCGGAUAAAAUCUUAUUUGCAACUCUUUUACUGCGAUAACUUCCAGUACAGGGAAUUGAAUUCACGGCAUUUAAAUCUUGUGGCAUUCAUGAGGAAAUUUAUUGACUGCAUGGCAAACACCUGCAAUAUGUCAAUGCGAGUUUUAUCACCGUUCCAUUUUCCACUUGACACUGAAAGAGGCAUUCAAGGUGUUUUGUAACAGGGGAGUUGCGGGAAGUACAAGUGCGCAGUCGCUUGCCACAUUUGACGAAAGGUGGCAAUGAAAAAUCGAGUGAUGAAUCUAUUGAAGAUGCACUUGAAAAGGCUUGUGCUGCAUUUCAGUCUGAUAUGCUUCAAUGUUGGUUCUUGUCCUGUGAUAUUGUGUGCACUAAUUUACUGUCUCAUAUUAUUUUAGGAUGUGAAACUCCUCACAUACAUCACUGGUAAAGACUCAUUUGCAGAAAUUUACAGGAAUGGCGGCAAUUGCACUGAAAUCAUAAAUUAAAAGAACAGCAUCCUAUAUGACAUUAAGCGUGGGUUCCAGUGCAUUUGAUGAUGAGUAAUUCCAUGCUCUUUCCCUGCUGAAAUAAGUACUCUCAUGGCAAGAUUAUAUUCAACAAACAAUAUUGGAUUUGGCUUUUUCCUUGAACUGCAUGAGAGGAUAGUGGUAACUGCGUUGAAGUUGUAAAAUAAAUGCUCUUUAUGAAGAACUUUUCAAAUAAAUGCUCUUUAUGAAGAACUUUUCCCUGCUCUUUACACUAUUGAAAUCAGUAGCUUUAUAGCAAGGUUACAGUCAAACGGCAAUACCUACUAGAGUUGUGAAAAAGCGCCUGAUAGAAAUGAAUGUUCAGGGCCUUCAAUUACAUUGCAGCAAAUUACCCCCAUUAUAUUUCUAUCCAACUUGACUAGCAAUGAAGAAACUUAGGAUGCAGGAAAAAAAUGUCUCUAAUCUCUUUACCACUAUCUUUCUAUCCAACUUAAACAUAAAUCAGCCUCUGGCUUGAUGCACUCACGUAGAACCUUAUGACAAUGGCAGAGCAACUUUUUUAGACAAUGAAGAGCAACCAUUCAUUGCAAGGGUUUGAAGUCCCAUAUAAUAAAUUUCUUUAUAUUAUCAGUUGGUUCAGUGCAAACCUACCCUUCAACCUGCUUGCCUGGCCUAUAUGUAGUUGCAAACAAAACAUUCAGAUGGCCUAUGUGCAAGUCGAUGGCAGUUAUGCAUUUAGCUAGAAAAUAGCUUUAGUAUGACCAUUGUUGAAACUGGUUUAAGAUUCGGUCAGUACAUCCACCACAAUUUUGUGAUUGAUGUAAACAUGUCACAGGUUUGUGAGAAAAAAUUAGACUUCAACAGGUACUUGCUGUGCAUAAUAACACUAGCACUUGCACU